UAGGAUUCUCAUGAAUGGAGUCAACAUCCUUGAACGUAACAAAAUUGAAGAGACCGAAAAUGUGAAUAUUAACAAAGAUCCCAGAAGAACCUCCAAAUAUAUUAAAGGUAAACUAUGAAAUCAAUGUACAUCAGUAUCAGAUUGCAGCAUUUGUCAUUCGAGCCAAAGAGGAGAUUAUGGGAGAUGAAUGUUGAAAAUAAGUUAUAUUAAAAAAAAAUAUUACAAUCUGGGGCGGUCCGGUAGUCCAGUGGUUAGCACGUCGGCUUCACAGUGCAGAGGUACCGGGUUCGAUUCCAGCUCCGGCCUCCCUGUGUGGAGUUUGCAUGUUCUCCCCGGGCCUGCGUGGGUUUUCUCCGGGUGCUCCGGUUUCCUCCCACGUUCCAAAAACAUGCGUGGCAGGCUGAUUGAACACUCUAAAUUGUCCCUAGGUGUGAGUGUGAGCGUGGAUGGUUGUUCGUCUCUGUGUGCCCUGUGAUUGGCUGGCAACCAAUUCAGGGUGUCCCCCGCCUACUGCCCGAAGACAGCUGGGAUAGGCUCCAGCACCCCCCGCGACCCUAGUGAGGAUCAAGCGGUUCCGAAGAUGAAUGAAUGAAUGAAU
Molecule: long non-coding RNA, 598 nt
Organism: Hippocampus zosterae (dwarf seahorse)
Lineage: Eukaryota; Metazoa; Chordata; Actinopteri; Syngnathiformes; Syngnathidae
Exons: 3
Source: RefSeq, a predicted model, not a curated record